This 21-nucleotide microRNA is filed under the name Zea mays. The record is from RNAcentral. Lineage: Eukaryota; Viridiplantae; Streptophyta; Magnoliopsida; Poales; Poaceae.
AUCACAGGCAGUCUCCUUGGC